GGAUCUGCAAGGAGGAAUGGCAGAGGAUCCCCAAAUCCAGACAGAGACUGGAACUUCUGAGCACUGUCACCUUGUCUGCUUUAGGACUGUCAUAGCCCAGCAAUCAGAUGCAUCAGAACAAGUAAAUUGCUUUAACAUUAAUGAUUAUGCAAUAUCAGUAUUGUAAUCAAACUUGACCCAUCUGAUGUAAUUGUUCAUGCCAGAGAUUUAACAACAUUGUCAGCCAGGGGCAUAUUUAACAGGAGACACACUUCACCUGGCUUGAUAGUGACUUCAGUAUGUGUGGUUGACCCUCUUGUUUUUUCUGGGUAUAACAAUUAUGCUAAGUAAUCUCACUCUCUUCCAUUUCCCUAACAUGAAACUUUUGACUGAAACAUGAAAAUGUAUU
This is a long non-coding RNA of Cyprinus carpio (common carp), 388 nucleotides long. RefSeq lists it as uncharacterized. The transcript has 3 exons. NCBI's taxonomy places the organism in Eukaryota, Metazoa, Chordata, Actinopteri, Cypriniformes, Cyprinidae. The record is from RefSeq and is a predicted model, not a curated record.